GACGAACCGAGCGAACGUUGUUCGGAAUCACUGGGCUUAAAGGGCGCGUAGGCGGGUGCUCAAAUCUGUGGUGAAAUCCUCCGGCUCAACCGGAGAACUGCCAUGGAUACUGGUUGUCUCGAGGGUGGUAGGGGUAUGCGGAACUAUCGGUGGAGCGGUGAAAUGCGUUGAUAUCGAUAGGAACUCCGGUGGCGAAGGCGGCAUACUGGACCACAUCUGACGCUGAGGCGCGAAAGCCAGGGGAGCAAACGGG
Molecule: ribosomal RNA, 253 nt
Filed under: uncultured bacterium
Lineage: Bacteria
Description: partial 16S ribosomal RNA
Rfam family: Bacterial small subunit ribosomal RNA
Source: RNAcentral